GUCGAGGGGCAGCAUUUCAGUUUGCUUGCAAACUGGAGAUGGCGACCGGCGCACGGGUGAGUAACACGUAUCCAACCUGCCGAUAACUCGGGGAUAGCCUUUCGAAAGAAAGAUUAAUACCCGAUGGUAUAAUUAGACCGCAUGGUCUUGUUAUUAAAGAAUUUCGGUUAUCGAUGGGGAUGCGUUCCAUUAGGCAGUUGGUGAGGUAACGGCUCACCAAACCUUCGAUGGAUAGGGGUUCUGAGAGGAAGGUCCCCCACAUUGGAACUGAGACACGGUCCAAACUCCUACGGGAGGCAGCAGUGAGGAAUAUUGGUCAAUGGGCGCAGGCCUGAACCAGCCAAGUAGCGUGAAGGAUGACUGCCCUAUGGGUUGUAAACUUCUUUUAUAUGGGAAUAAAGUUUUCCACGUGUGGAAUUUUGUAUGUACCAUAUGAAUAAGGAUCGGCUAACUCCGUGCCAGCAGCCGCGGUAAUACGGAGGAUCCGAGCGUUAUCCGGAUUUAUUGGGUUUAAAGGGAGCGUAGGUGGACAGUUAAGUCAGUUGUGAAAGUUUGCGGCUCAACCGUAAAAUUGCAGUUGAUACUGGCUGUCUUGAGUACAGUAGAGGUGGGCGGAAUUCGUGGUGUAGCGGUGAAAUGCUUAGAUAUCACGAAGAACUCCGAUUGCGAAGGCAGCUCACUGGACUGCAACUGACACUGAUGCUCGAAAGUGUGGGUA
RNAcentral lists this ribosomal RNA (718 nucleotides) under uncultured bacterium. RNAcentral's name for it is "bacterial SSU rRNA". It matches the Rfam family "Bacterial small subunit ribosomal RNA", at positions 61 to 767 of the family's 1533-position model. The record is from RNAcentral.